GAUGAACGCUGGCGGCGUGCCUAAUACAUGCCAGUCGAGCGAACGGACGAGAAGCUUGCUUCUCUGAUGUUAGCGGCGGACGGGUGAGUAACACGUGGAUAACCUACCUAUAAGACUGGGAUAACUUCGGGAAACCGGAGCUAAUACCGGAUAAUAUUUUGAACCGCAUGGUUCAAAAGUGAAAGACGGUCUUGCUGUCACUAAUAGAUGGAUCCGCGCUGCAUUAGCUAGUUGGUAAGGUAACGGCUUACCAAGGCAACGAUGCAUAGCCGACCUGAGAGGGUGAUCGGCCACACUGGAACUGAGACACGGUCCAGACUCCUACGGGAGGCAGCAGUAGGGAAUCUUCCGCAAUGGGCGAAAGCCUGACGGAGCAACGCCGCGUGAGUGAUGAAGGUCUUCGGAUCGUAAAACUCUGUUAUUAGGGAAGAACAUAUGUGUAAGUAACUGUGCACAUCUUGACGGUACCUAAUCAGAAAGCCACGGCUAACUACGUG
RNAcentral lists this ribosomal RNA (497 nucleotides) under uncultured bacterium. Its description in RNAcentral is "partial 16S ribosomal RNA". It matches the Rfam family "Bacterial small subunit ribosomal RNA", at positions 28 to 507 of the family's 1533-position model. The record is from RNAcentral.